This 66-nucleotide transfer RNA is filed under the name Macromia daimoji. Its description in RNAcentral is "tRNA-Thr". It matches the Rfam family "tRNA". Rfam says of the family: Transfer RNA (tRNA) molecules are approximately 80 nucleotides in length. Lineage: Eukaryota; Metazoa; Arthropoda; Insecta; Odonata; Macromiidae. The record is from RNAcentral.
GUUUAAGUAGUUUAUACAAAACAUUGGUCUUGUAAACCAAAAUAGAGUUAAAUAACUCCUUAAUCU